GAAAUGCGAUAAGUAAUGUGAAUUGCAGAAUUCAGUGAAUCAUCGAAUCUUUGAACGCACAUUGCGCCCCCUGGUAUUCCGGGGGGCAUGCCUGUUCGAGCGUCAUUUCACCACUCAAGCCUCGCUUGGUAUUGGGCGACGCGGUCCGCCGCGCGCCUCAAAUCGACCGGCUGGGUCUUUCGUCCCCUCAGCGUUGUGGAAACUAUUCGCUAAAGGGUGCCGCGGGAGGCCACGCCGUAAAACAACCCCAUUUCUAGGUUGACCUCGGAUCAGGUAGGGAUACCCGCUGAACUUAAGC
RNAcentral lists this unclassified non-coding RNA (298 nucleotides) under plant metagenome. RNAcentral describes it as "partial contains 5.8S ribosomal RNA, internal transcribed spacer 2, and large subunit ribosomal RNA". The stretch from base 1 to 105 matches the Rfam family "5.8S ribosomal RNA", at positions 50 to 154 of the family's 154-position model. The record is from RNAcentral.